Sebastes umbrosus (honeycomb rockfish) is the source of this 427-nucleotide long non-coding RNA. RefSeq lists it as uncharacterized. The transcript is spliced from 4 exons. NCBI's taxonomy places the organism in Eukaryota, Metazoa, Chordata, Actinopteri, Perciformes, Sebastidae. The record is from RefSeq and is a predicted model, not a curated record.
UUGACAGCUCUAUUUAUAACCAAGGUUUAAGACUAUAUGAGUUGUAGUAUGGAAUAAGGAUGAUGACUUCUGUUUUUUUACUUUACAUUGUGUGCUUUUGUUUAUUUAUUUCUGCUGCAGUGUUUCGGUUGAACUAAAGAGAUUCAUCAUCUCUUUGAGCGUGUUGAUCUUCAUUGUAAUGGUGGCCUUGUUCAUCUGGUUUAUGUUGAAAAGACACAAGCAGACCAAAGCAACAUCAUCUGCCAUGACAGCGAAGUCACAUGCUGAGAGUGAUGUGGACGUGACGUAUAGUUCCGUGGUUACCACGAGGCCACAACGUGUACGAAGGGUUGAAGCAAAUGAUGAGAAUGUUACAUACAGCACAUUGGCUUAGCACAUCACCCCUGCUUGUUACACCUUCGCACUACUUUAUCCUCUUCCACAUACU